Monomorium pharaonis (pharaoh ant) is the source of this 908-nucleotide long non-coding RNA. RefSeq lists it as uncharacterized. The transcript is spliced from 2 exons. Lineage: Eukaryota; Metazoa; Arthropoda; Insecta; Hymenoptera; Formicidae. The record is from RefSeq and is a predicted model, not a curated record.
UUUUGACGACAUAUGACCAGAUAUGACCAUUUUGGGACGUCAAAAUGACGUGGGCUUGCUACCUGGGAUGUUAUCUAAGGUAUCUGCAUAAAAGUUGUCCAGAAGAUAUCUUUUAACCACGCUGAUGUUUCUGAUUUUUGUCGCAGUAUUAAAUUAAUAACGCGCGCGUUGCACGUGCAGUGUGUAUAUUAAUAAACUAUUAUAUAUAUAAUUUUUUAUUGAAUUGAAGAGUGUGCUGAUCAAGUUAAUUGUAAUAGAUACACGUUAUACGUAUUGGAAUAAAAAGUUUCUUUAUAUAUCUAUUUGGAAAUUAAGUGAGUAUUUACUUGUUUCAAUUUAUUCUACAUACUAUAUUUCAUUCUAUUUAAUAUAAUAUAUAAUUAAUACACAUUAUGGGACCAUCGUUAAAAUCAUUCGUUAAGAUUUCGUUAAGAUUUCGCUUGUAUAAGAUUUGCUUUUGUAAGAACUUAAAAAUAAUUAUUUUAUUAAAUAUAAAUAUUUGAAUAAUUAAAAUAUAUGAAUGUAUAUUAUAUAUCUGAUAAAAAUUUAUUAUCUAAAAUAUGAAUAUAUAUAACAUAGUUAAUUAUCUAAAAGUAUUAAUAGUUAACUUUAUUGUUCUGAUGCAUACAAACUGAAUACUCGUGCUUGGUGGACUAGAGCAAAAAUAGGAGAGUAUUUCCUAAUAUUCAGCCAAAGUCAUCCUUCACAUAUAUCGAAUUUUGACAAAAAUGAAAAUAUUCAAAAGAAGCCUGGUUUCAAUCACAAAUGAGCCACUCAAGUUGAUUCUGGAUUAUCUCAGAGCUUCGGUUUGCAAGGUGGAACCAAGUUUAAUUUUAUGGAGUGUAUUUCCGGCUGGUUGCACACAGUAAUCAUAACAGGUUUUAGCAGUUCGGUAUCGAAAAAAAAAA